AUUGAACGCUGGCGGCAGGCCUAACACAUGCAAGUCGAGCGAGAAAGCUCCUUCGGGAGUGAGUAGAGCGGCGGACGGGUGAGUAACGCGUAGGAAUCUACCUGGUAGUGGGGGACAACAGUUGGAAACAGCUGCUAAUACCGCAUACGCCCUACGGGGGAAAGCGGGGGACCGUUCGGGCCGUCGCGCUAUCAGAUGAGCCUGCGUUGGAUUAGCUUGUUGGUUGAGGUAAAGGACUCACCAAGGCGACGAUCCAUAGCUGGUCUGAGAGGAUGAUCAG
RNAcentral lists this ribosomal RNA (280 nucleotides) under uncultured Gammaproteobacteria bacterium. Its description in RNAcentral is "partial 16S ribosomal RNA". It matches the Rfam family "Bacterial small subunit ribosomal RNA", at positions 30 to 307 of the family's 1533-position model. The record is from RNAcentral. Lineage: Bacteria; Pseudomonadati; Pseudomonadota; Gammaproteobacteria.